Long non-coding RNA from Dermochelys coriacea (leatherback sea turtle), 827 nucleotides. RefSeq lists it as uncharacterized. The transcript has 2 exons. The record is from RefSeq and is a predicted model, not a curated record. NCBI's taxonomy places the organism in Eukaryota, Metazoa, Chordata, Testudines, Dermochelyidae.
AGAGAAUAAGCCCUAGGAUCCUGCCAUGGACUACAAGUAGCCCUGGGGAGCAGAGGAAGGUCAGGGGUAAACCCAGAGGCACCCAGGCAGUGUGGAGGAUGAAUCUGACUGCUUCCUAGACAGCCUGGACAAAAGCCAGACUGGGGGGAGGAAGAGGAAAGUAGAAGAUUAGAACAAGAAGUCUGUCUUGGCCCUGAAGGAGCCUAUCCAUGUCUCAUUUACAACUUCAGCAAUAAAAUUAAUCUGGGGCCCUGUAGAUGACAGCCUCCUUCACACCAUAACCCAAAUUCAUCUCCAGAGAAGAUCAGUCUUGUGCACUAAAUGAGGCAGUGUGGAAAAAAAAAUGUGAGAAGGUAUUAGAGACUGUAUCAUAAAGCAUAAGGCGGACAAAUUGAGGUUGUAGAGACCACCUUAUUCCUAAUCUUUAAGUGCUUUACUUUGCAACCUUAAUGUUCCAAGCAAUUUGUUUGUGUGGUACUAUAUCUAAAUAAAACAGUCAAUCCAUGAAUAUUUAAGCAGCAAUGAUGGAGACCCAUGGCAUUUACUGAAGAUUAAUGGCUGACUUGGUGUCUUGAUAGUCCUUGGCUUGGCCUGGAGCUCAUUACCAUCAGUGAGGCACUGAUUAUCCAAGAAAUGCCAUUGGGAUGAGGGCAUCAUUGCUGUAAUAGGGAAAUGGGAGAACUGCAUAUGGGUGUUUUUGGGUAACUAACUAUGUUGCACAGAGGAGGAAAUGGUUCUAUUCUACAUUUCAACUUGAUGCUACAGAAACAAUUUGUCUCUGUGAAAUCCUAAAAUGAACAAAAGAUGUGAAUAAACUUAGUACAAAG